AGCCUUGUAUUCACGUUGUGAUAAUAGAAUGCAAUUCUGUAGGGGCAGGGAUUAAAAAUUAAACUUGCCAAGGCCU
RNAcentral lists this transfer RNA (76 nucleotides) under Reticulitermes hesperus. Its description in RNAcentral is "tRNA-Cys". The record is from RNAcentral. Lineage: Eukaryota; Metazoa; Arthropoda; Insecta; Blattodea; Rhinotermitidae.